Nothoprocta perdicaria is the source of this 290-nucleotide long non-coding RNA. RefSeq lists it as uncharacterized. The transcript is spliced from 3 exons. The record is from RefSeq and is a predicted model, not a curated record. Lineage: Eukaryota; Metazoa; Chordata; Aves; Tinamiformes; Tinamidae.
CCAUUUUCAACUGCCUGAACUUGCAGCCAUACCACAUCACCUUUUACAAUGAUAAGCCCACUUAUAUGAGAUCUUGGACUACUGAGGAAACUGAGACAAAAAGACUGAAAGAAAGCAGGUACUGUGCCACGACUGUUAAAAGCUAAAUGAGAACAAGACAACCUGGAUAAUUAAGAGCCUGACUUGCCAACCUAGCAUGGCAUCUUUGAGAAGAUCAGAGGAACCAGGUGCCUCUCUGCACUGCCUGCUUCUACAGAAUAGUCUGGGUGGCAAUGAAGUUUCCAGAAAUU